This 24-nucleotide non-coding RNA is filed under the name Arabidopsis thaliana (thale cress). The record is from RNAcentral. Lineage: Eukaryota; Viridiplantae; Streptophyta; Magnoliopsida; Brassicales; Brassicaceae.
GGGGUCAGACACAAAGGUUAUGAA